GACGAACGCUGGCGGCGUGCUUAACACAUGCAAGUCGAACGGAAAGGCCCUGCUUUUGUGGGGUGCUCGAGUGGCGAACGGGUGAGUAACACGUGAGUAACCUGCCCUUGACUGUGGGAUAACUUCAGGAAACUGGGGCUAAUACCGGAUAGGAGCUCCUGCUGCAUGGUGGGGGUUGGAAAGUUUCGGCGGGUGGGGAUGGACUCGCGGCUUAUCAGCUUGUUGGUGGGGUAGUGGCUUACCAAGGCUUUGACGGGUAGCCGGCCUGAGAGGGUGACCGGCCACAUUGGGACUGAGAUAGGGCCCAGACUCCUACGGGAGGCAGCAGUGGGGAAUCUUGCACAAUGGGCGGAAGCCUGAUGCAGCAACGCCGCGUGCGGGAUGACGGCCUUCGGGUUGUAAACCGCUUUCGCCUGUGACGAAGCGUGAGUGACGGUAAUGGGUAAAGAAGCACCGGCUAACUACGUG
Molecule: ribosomal RNA, 468 nt
Filed under: uncultured bacterium
Lineage: Bacteria
Description: partial 16S ribosomal RNA
Rfam family: Bacterial small subunit ribosomal RNA
Source: RNAcentral